ACGGAGGGGGCGAGCGUUGUUCGGAAUUACUGGGCGUAAAGCGCGCGCAGGCGGCUCUUUAAGUCUACCCGUGAAAUGCCGGAGCUCAACUCCGUGCACGCCGGGGGAUACUGGAGAGCUGGAGACGAGUAGAGGCAAGCGGAAUUCCGGGUGUAGCGGUGGAAUGCGUAGAGAUCCGGAAGAACACCGGAGGCGAAGGCGGCUUGCUGGGCUUGGUCUGACGCUGAGGCGCGAAAGCGUGGGGAGCAAACGGGA
Molecule: ribosomal RNA, 255 nt
Filed under: uncultured prokaryote
Description: partial 16S ribosomal RNA
Rfam family: Bacterial small subunit ribosomal RNA
Source: RNAcentral